CUGGGUUGAUCCAUAUGGUGGUAGAAAAGAGCAUGAAAAGAACAACUUGUUUUUUACAGAAAUUUGAUCCAAAGGAAGUUUUUCAACGAAGUCCUGUAGUUUCUUAUUAAUGUAUUCUGCAGAUUUUAAAUAAUACAUGAAGUGAAUGAUAGCUUUUAUCUCUAACCUUUUGACCUAUCUAUGUACUCUCAGCCUCUUCUAAAUACUAAUAGGAAAAACUGGAGAUGUCUAAUAUUCAGCUGCCUAUGCAACAAUAUUUGAAUGCUUCAGAUCUUUCUGGGGCAACCAAGGAGAAAAUGAGUUUUCUAUACUUAAUACAAAGUAUAGAUAAAAGAAGAAAUAGUGAAUAAAGUUCUUGAUUGCAUGAGAAUCACUGUCUGUAUAACCUGGACGAAUCUUAAAAACCUUUUUCAUAUGUUUUAGAAAAGCUUAUUUGAGUGGAAACCAAACAAAAUCAGUAUGUCACAAAGUAAGCAACUUGCCUCAGUGAGUAUGAUGUUAUGUGUCUGUACUUUCUCACAAAUACAUAGAAGCGCACUUUCUUAAAAUCAGUAAUUGAAUGUUUUGUUCAUGAUUUCUAAAUUGAUAAUACUAACUAUUCUUUUCUGUAUUCCUGUCUAUUAGUGAAAUUCACAUACUAAUGAACAUGUAAUUGCAUGUGGAGCACCUCAUGGAAGUGAAAACUGUCAAGGUGAAAAUCAGCGUAUUCAGAUGGAGGUGGGAGAGGUUGCAUUUGGAUGCCAAACAGUGGAAAACUAUUUGUGCAGAAGCAGCAAUGGAAGGUGUGGGCCAAUGGGGAAGCAGAUAAAAAGGGGAGGACCACAAACAGACUUUGUGACAGAAUGUGAUGUGCAAGAGUCCAGGAAAACAUACUUGUCAGAUGUGAAAUAAAAGCCAUCAGAAGAAACCUGAUAUGGUAAGGAUUACUUUUUCAUGGCUAGAGUCCUUUCUGGGUAAGAGCAUGGAACACACUGUUUUCCCCUUUUGAUCACAAAGCUGUAUUCUGAAAGUUACCUGAACUGAUGGUUCUGCCAGCAAAACAACAACAACAAAAAGAGCUCAGGUCUACCGUGUAUUGUGGGGCUGUUGUAUUUUCAGGUUUAAUGUCAGGAUUUGGUUGCAAGUUUGGAAUUUUAUUACUCUUUUUAUUACUUAUAACAAUAAAACGGGGCAAGGCAUGUGC
RNAcentral lists this long non-coding RNA (1183 nucleotides) under Coturnix japonica (Japanese quail). RNAcentral's name for it is "lncRNA (ENSCJPG00005000727.1)". Lineage: Eukaryota; Metazoa; Chordata; Aves; Galliformes; Phasianidae. The record is from RNAcentral.